UGCAGCCUAAGCUUAGGUCGUAACUCUUUCUCCAUAUCCUUUUUAAACUGACAUAAACGAAUAUCAUUCUGUUGGGCCACUUUUAUCCAUUCGAUCAAUGCUGGUUGUACCAUUAAAUUGGCUAACAUAUUUUUAACAUCGGUACAAAUCACUUCAAUUUGUAAAUCUUUAAGAUCCCUCAGAAUUUGUUGCUGAGCAGAAAGC
Molecule: long non-coding RNA, 204 nt
Filed under: Elaeis guineensis (African oil palm)
Lineage: Eukaryota; Viridiplantae; Streptophyta; Magnoliopsida; Arecales; Arecaceae
Description: long non-coding RNA (EGUI_LNC017005)
Source: RNAcentral